GAUGAAGAACGUAGCGAAAUGCGAUAAGUAAUGUGAAUUGCAGAAUUCAGUGAAUCAUCGAAUCUUUGAACGCACAUUGCGCCCGCCAGCAUUCUGGCGGGCAUGCCUGUUCGAGCGUCAUUUCAACCCUCGACUUCCCUUUGGGGAAAUCGGCGUUGGGGACCGGCUGUAUACCGCCGGCCCCGAAAUGAAGUGGCGGCCCGUCCGCGGCGACCUCUGCGUAGGAAUCCAACUCGCACCGGAACCCCGACGUGGCCACGCCGUAAAACCCCCGACUUCUGAACGUUGACCUCGGAUCAGGUAGGAAUACCCGCUGAACUUAAGCAUAUCAAUAAGCGGAGGA
RNAcentral lists this unclassified non-coding RNA (343 nucleotides) under soil metagenome. Its description in RNAcentral is "partial contains 5.8S ribosomal RNA, internal transcribed spacer 2, and large subunit ribosomal RNA". The stretch from base 1 to 120 matches the Rfam family "5.8S ribosomal RNA", at positions 35 to 154 of the family's 154-position model. The record is from RNAcentral.